This 651-nucleotide ribosomal RNA is filed under the name Lodderomyces metapsilosis. Its description in RNAcentral is "LSU rRNA". It matches the Rfam family "Eukaryotic large subunit ribosomal RNA", at positions 38 to 706 of the family's 3401-position model. Lineage: Eukaryota; Fungi; Ascomycota; Pichiomycetes; Serinales; Debaryomycetaceae. The record is from RNAcentral.
GCAUAUCAAUAAGCGGAGGAAAAGAAACCAACAGGGAUUGCCUUAGUAGCGGCGAGUGAAGCGGCAAAAGCUCAAAUUUGAAAUCUGGCACUUUCAGUGUCCGAGUUGUAAUUUGAAGAAGGUAUCUUUGGGUCUGGCUCUUGUCUAUGUUUCUUGGAACAGAACGUCACAGAGGGUGAGAAUCCCGUGCGAUGAGAUGACCCAGACCUAUGUAAAGUUCCUUCGAAGAGUCGAGUUGUUUGGGAAUGCAGCUCUAAGUGGGUGGUAAAUUCCAUCUAAAGCUAAAUAUUGGCGAGAGACCGAUAGCGAACAAGUACAGUGAUGGAAAGAUGAAAAGAACUUUGAAAAGAGAGUGAAAAAGUACGUGAAAUUGUUGAAAGGGAAGGGCUUGAGAUCAGACUUGGUAUUUUGUAUGUUACUCUUUCGGGGGUGGCCUCUACAGUUUACCGGGCCAGCAUCAGUUUGGGCGGUAGGAGAAUUGCAAAGAAAUGUGGCACUGCUUCGGUAGUGUGUUAUAGUCUUUGUCGAUACUGCCAGCCUAGACUGAGGACUGCGGCUUCGGCCUAGGAUGUUGGCAUAAUGAUCUUAAGUCGCCCGUCUUGAAACACGGACCAAGGAGUCUAACGUCUAUGCAAGUGUUUGGGUGUAAAA